This 253-nucleotide ribosomal RNA is filed under the name uncultured prokaryote. RNAcentral describes it as "partial 16S ribosomal RNA". It matches the Rfam family "Bacterial small subunit ribosomal RNA", at positions 525 to 777 of the family's 1533-position model. The record is from RNAcentral.
ACAGAGGGUGCGAGCGUUAAUCGGAAUUACUGGGCGUAAAGCGCGCGUAGGUGGCUUGUUAAGUCGGUUGUGAAAGCCCUGGGCUUAACCUGGGAAUUGCAUUCGAUACUGGCAGGCUAGAGUGUGGUAGAGGGAAGUGGAAUUCCGAGUGUAGAGGUGAAAUUCGUAGAUAUUCGGAGGAACACCAGUGGCGAAGGCGGCUCACUGGCUCGGUACUGACGCUGAGGUGCGAAAGCGUGGGGAGCAAACAGGA